Molecule: unclassified non-coding RNA, 327 nt
Filed under: plant metagenome
Description: partial contains 5.8S ribosomal RNA, internal transcribed spacer 2, and large subunit ribosomal RNA
Rfam family: 5.8S ribosomal RNA (bases 1-105)
Source: RNAcentral
GAAAUGCGAUAAGUAAUGUGAAUUGCAGAAUUCCGUGAAUCAUCGAAUCUUUGAACGCACAUUGCGCCCUCUGGUAUUCCGGGGGGCAUGCCUGUCCGAGCGUCAUUGCGAACCCCUCAAGCACGGCUUGUGUGAUGGGCCCUCCCGCGUCUUGGUCGUCAAGACGGGCCCGAAAUGCAGUGGCGGCUUCGCGGUUCCGAUCAGCCAGAGCGUAUGGGGACUCUCUCUCUUGUCACACGCCCGCGGCGCGGACCGACGCCUGUCGACCUUUAUUCAUCUUCUCUCGGUUGACCUCGGAUCAGGUAGGGAUACCCGCUGAACUUAAGC